GAGUUUGAUCUUGGCUCAGAUUGAACGCUGGCGGCAGGCCUAACACAUGCAAGUCGAGCGGAUGACGGGAGCUUGCUCCUUGAUUCAGCGGCGGACGGGUGAGUAAUGCCUAGGAAUCUGCCUGGUAGUGGGGGACAACGUUUCGAAAGGAACGCUAAUACCGCAUACGUCCUACGGGAGAAAGCAGGGGACCUUCGGGCCUUGCGCUAUCAGAUGAGCCUAGGUCGGAUUAGCUAGUUGGUGGGGUAAUGGCUCACCAAGGCGACGAUCCGUAACUGGUCUGAGAGGAUGAUCAGUCACACUGGAACUGAGACACGGUCUAGACUCCUACGGGAGGCAGCAGUGGGGAAUAUUGGACAAUGGGCGAAAGCCUGAUCCAGCCAUGCCGCGUGUGUGAAGAAGGUCUUCGGAUUGUAAAGCACUUUAAGUUGGGAGGAAGGGCAGUAAGUUAAUACCUUGCUGUUUUGACGUUACCGACAGAAUAAGCACCGGCUAACUCUGUGCCAGCAGCCG
This 513-nucleotide ribosomal RNA is filed under the name bacterium enrichment culture clone ALO1_GLFRUDD03GW580. Its description in RNAcentral is "bacterial SSU rRNA". It matches the Rfam family "Bacterial small subunit ribosomal RNA", at positions 9 to 517 of the family's 1533-position model. The record is from RNAcentral.